AGAUGUGAAGGUGGUCUGGCUGCAAACAUCUGUCACCUCAUUGAUUGCUAAGGUUGAGUCAGCUGAUCUGGUUAGCUAGGUAGUGUCUCCUUCCUCCCUCACUACUCUAUGUCUACUUCUCCUGAAACUGCAUACUCAGUGGAUAAAGACAACCAUCCCAUUUAGGAGGAAUGUAAUCAGCAGUCAGUGUGAUCAGUAGUCAAGAGAAUUGUGGGACUUGUAGUUCAGCAAUUUCUAGAUGGCAUCAUGUUGAUUAUUCUUU
This 262-nucleotide small nuclear RNA is filed under the name Salvator merianae (Argentine black and white tegu). RNAcentral describes it as "7SK RNA (ENSSMRG00000005425.1)". It matches the Rfam family "7SK RNA". From Rfam's summary of the family: 7SK was discovered as an abundant small nuclear RNA in the mid-70s but a possible function has only recently been suggested. Two independent studies have found that 7SK RNA binds the CDK9/cyclin T complex (known as elongation factor P-TEFb). The record is from RNAcentral. Lineage: Eukaryota; Metazoa; Chordata; Lepidosauria; Squamata; Teiidae.